AUCACCUGGGGAUCUUGUUAAAACAUGGAUUCUGAUUCCAUAGGUUUGGAAUGGAGUCCGAGAUUCUGCGUUUCUAACAAGAUCCCCGUUGAUGCC
This 96-nucleotide microRNA precursor is filed under the name Mustela putorius furo (domestic ferret). RNAcentral describes it as "miRNA (ENSMPUG00000021495.1)". The record is from RNAcentral. Lineage: Eukaryota; Metazoa; Chordata; Mammalia; Carnivora; Mustelidae.